GACUUGGUAGCUCAGCUGGUAGAGCAUCACACUUUUAAUGUGAGGGUCCUGGGUUCGAACCCCAGCCAAGUCACGA
Molecule: transfer RNA, 76 nt
Filed under: Nonlabens agnitus
Lineage: Bacteria; Pseudomonadati; Bacteroidota; Flavobacteriia; Flavobacteriales; Flavobacteriaceae
Also listed under: 1 other name
Description: tRNA-Lys
Rfam family: tRNA
About the family: Transfer RNA (tRNA) molecules are approximately 80 nucleotides in length. Their secondary structure includes four short double-helical elements and three loops (D, anti-codon, and T loops).
Source: RNAcentral